RNAcentral lists this long non-coding RNA (1444 nucleotides) under Mytilus galloprovincialis (Mediterranean mussel). Lineage: Eukaryota; Metazoa; Mollusca; Bivalvia; Mytilida; Mytilidae. The record is from RNAcentral.
UGGAGGUCAGUUUUAUUUCAUUUUUGUUUAAAUAUAUAUAAAAUGUAAGUUUUUUCUGAAGAAAAGAAAAAAAAGAAAAGUCUUUAUAUGGUGGUAGUCCAUUAUAUGGUCAAAGGACACAGUUAUCGUCCUUUGGGUUUCGUUGUUUACGAAUACAGUCCCUAGUGUGAACAUGGUACAUAACUUGCAUUUUUUAUUUGAUACACUUUCCUAAUUUAUUUCUUAAUAUUUAAUGCAUAAAAUAUUAAGAGGGGGGAUAAAAUUACAUGUUAAAAAAAUGUGGGUGCUAAAUCAUUAUGUUAAUUAGUGAUUUGGUCCAGUUAAAAAAAGGUCAUAUUUUAUUACGUCUGAAGCUGUCAAACUGAAUUUUACAUCCCCUUAACACAGAAUUGUCAAUAUUUUGAGUUAGAGCUGGUAGAAGUUUCUAUGAUUUUGAUAUUAUUUGUCUCACUGGUAGUAUACUACACUGUAAAAUCUAUUUGAGAAAGAGCAGGUGGGAUUUUUUAAAUUUGAAUUUAUUGUCUAAAAGAAAUGCACUACGAAAUAACUGUGUUCUCGGGCCAUAUACAAGGAAAUAUGGAGUAAUGUUAAGACUUUUGGAAACUGAAGCAUGUGUAUGCCAAAAAAUACUAGUAGUUACAAACAAUAAUUCUAUUUUAGUUACAAUUUAUUUGAGAGCUACAAAACAAAUACAAACUUUUACAAUAAUGGAAUCAAUAUUAAUCUUCAUUGACACUAUUAGAUAAACGGCUUGAAGAGUCAUUCACUUGAAGUUGAACUAUAAUUUGAUCACAAGUUUUUAAUCGGUGUAACACUCGGAAAACACUUUAAAAAUGACGGAAAGGGAUAAUUACUAUAGAACAUCACUUCAAAAAUUCGUCACAGAUUAUAACUAUGACUCUUUUUAAAACAAAUCAUUUUCUUAAAGAUAUAUCUAUAGCCAUCCCUAAAUCUUCUGUCAAUAAAUGCAUAUAUGAUAGGGUUCACUACAUUGUUUAUGGCGAAUGACCUGGAUACUAUUGGCAACACAGCAGACACAAUAGGACCUGGCGCAAAUAGGAAUUUACCUUUCAAUGCCGUCAAUAAAGAUAUUGUUAAAUGCGGCAGGUAGCUCAAAAUGAAGGCGAGACUGACGGCAAAUGCGAUUUUAGUUAGUUUCUUCGAUGCCAUGUCUUCUUUUGUUGAUUUUUUUCUAUCUUUGAUGGUUGACUUUUUCUUGUUCAAUAGUUUCUUUUCACUAUGUUCCUUUUUGUCCUUUUUGUCCUCGAAAACCUCAUUUUCGUAUUGCUGGGAAGUAUUUAAAUGGUGUUGCUCAUUGGAAAGUGUUGUAUCAGACGUUGACUUAGUCGAUGACACAUUAGAGAAUUUCCGCCUAAACUGGAUGUGUGCGCAAAGUUUUCGUCCAAUUAACGAGUAUAUUACAAUCAACGAUACCAUACAGAUA